GGGGGAUAACGUCCGGAAACGGACGCUAAUACCGCAUACGUCCUACGGGAGAAAGCAGGGGACCUUCGGGCCUUGCGCUAUCAGAUGAGCCUAGGUCGGAUUAGCUAGUUGGUGGGGUAAUGGCUCACCAAGGCGACGAUCCGUAACUGGUCUGAGAGGAUGAUCAGUCACACUGGAACUGAGACACGGUCCAGACUCCUACGGGAGGCAGCAGUGGGGAAUAUUGGACAAUGGGCGAAAGCCUGAUCCAGCCAUGCCGCGUGUGUGAAGAAGGUCUUCGGAUUGUAAAGCACUUUAAGUUGGGAGGAAGGGCAGUAAAUUAAUACUUUGCUGUUUUGACGUUACCGACAGAAUAAGCACCGGCUAACUCUGUGCCAGCAGCCGCGGUAAUACAGAGGGUGCAAGCGUUAAUCGGAAUUACUGGGCGUAAAGCGCGCGUAGGUGGUUCGUUAAGUUGGAUGUGAAAUCCCCGGGCUCAACCUGGGAACUGCAUUCAAAACUGACGAGCUAGAGUAUGGUAGAGGGUGGUGGAAUUUCCUGUGUA
RNAcentral lists this ribosomal RNA (544 nucleotides) under uncultured bacterium. Its description in RNAcentral is "bacterial SSU rRNA". It matches the Rfam family "Bacterial small subunit ribosomal RNA", at positions 138 to 677 of the family's 1533-position model. The record is from RNAcentral.